AGUAAAGUGGCGCACGGGUGAGUAAUGCAUAGGAACGUGCCUUUUAGUGGGGAAUAACCACGGGAAACCGUAGCUAAUACCGCAUGACCUCGCAAGAGAAAAGGUGGCCUCUACUUGUAAGCUACCGCUAAAAGAGCGGCCUAUGUCCCAUUAGCUAGUUGGUAGGGUAAAAGCCUACCAAGGCAACGAUGGGUAGCUGGUCUGAGAGGAUGAUCAGCCACACUGGAACUGAGACACGGUCCAGACUCC
This 249-nucleotide ribosomal RNA is filed under the name uncultured bacterium. RNAcentral describes it as "partial 16S ribosomal RNA". It matches the Rfam family "Bacterial small subunit ribosomal RNA", at positions 89 to 339 of the family's 1533-position model. The record is from RNAcentral.